This 886-nucleotide ribosomal RNA is filed under the name uncultured bacterium. Its description in RNAcentral is "bacterial SSU rRNA". It matches the Rfam family "Bacterial small subunit ribosomal RNA", at positions 62 to 916 of the family's 1533-position model. The record is from RNAcentral.
UCGAGCGAGCAGAAUUAACAGAAUCACUUCCGUGAGGACGUUUAUGAAGAGGCCCCACAUGGGUGAGUAACACGUGGGUAACCUGCCCUUACAUCUGGGAAACCACUUGGAAACAGGUGCUAAUACCGGAUGAGAUCAAGUUUUGCAUGAGGCUUGAUUAAAAGGCGGCAAAGGCUGUGACGGACGGACGGACGAGCGGUGCGUUAGCUGGUUGGUAAGGUAACGGCUUACCAAUGCGAUGAUGCAUAGCCAAGUUGAGAGACUGACCGGCCACUGUGGGACUGACACACGGCCUACACUCCUACGGGAGGCAGCAUAAUGGAAUCUGCCACAGGGGGCGAAACCCUGAUGGAGCAACGCCGCGGAAGUGAAAAGGGUUUUCGGAUCGUAUAGCUCUGUUGUUGGAGGAAAGAGACAGAGGUAGUAACUGGCCUUUAUUUGAUGCUAGUCAACCAGAAAGUCACGGCUAACUACCUGCCAUCCACCGCGGUAAUACUGGGGUGGCGGGAUUGUCCACGAUUUAUUGGGCGUAAAGCCAGCGCACGCCGACACAUACGUCUGACGUGAAAGCCCUCUGCUCAACCGAGGAAUUGCAUCAGAAACUGUGUUUCUUGAGUGCAGAAGAGAAGAGUGUAACUCCAUGUGUAGCGGUGGAAUGCGCAGAUAUGUGGAAUAACACGCAUGUGGAAGGCAGCUCCCUGAGGCUAGAACUGAUGCUGAGGCUCGAAAGCAUGGGUAGCCCACAGGAUAAGAUACGUAUGCGGUGCGUGCCGUAGACUAUGAGGAGCUAGAGCCUGGGAGGUUUCCCCUCUCCUGCUGCAGCUGACUCAUUGAGCACUCACUCUACGAGUACGACCGCACCGGUGAAACUCACAGGAAUUGACGG